Molecule: ribosomal RNA, 551 nt
Filed under: uncultured Acaulospora
Lineage: Eukaryota; Fungi; Glomeromycota; Glomeromycetes; Diversisporales; Acaulosporaceae
Description: SSU rRNA
Rfam family: Eukaryotic small subunit ribosomal RNA
Source: RNAcentral
UUGGAGGGCAAGUCUGGUGCCAGCAGCCGCGGUAAUUCCAGCUCCAAUAGCGUAUAUUAAAGUUGUUGCAGUUAAAAAGCUCGUAGUUGAAUUUCGGAAUCUGUCCGUCGGUCGGGCUUCACUGUCCGUACUGGUGUGAUGGGUUUCUACCUUCUGAAUAAUCGGCAUGUCAUUAAUUUGGUGCGCCGGGGAAGCAGAACUAUUACCUUGAAAAAAUUAGAGUGCUUAAAGCAGGCUAUCGCCUGAAUAGAUUAGCAUGGAAUAAUAAAAUAGGACGGCAUGGUUCUAUUUUGUUGGUUUCUAGGAUCACCGUAAUGAUUAAUAGGGAUAGUUGGGGGCAUUAGUAUUCAAUUGUCAGAGGUGAAAUUCUUGGAUUUAUUGAAGACUAACUUCUGCGAAAGCAUUUGCCAAGGAUGUUUUCAUUAAUCAAGAAAGAAAGUUAGGGGAUCGAAGACGAUCAGAUACCGUCGUAGUCUUAACCAUAAACUAUGCCGACUAGGGAUCGGACGAUGUUAAUUUUUUAAUGACUCGUUCGGCGCCUUACGGGAAAC